AGCGAACGCUGGCGGCAGGCCUAAUACAUGCAAGUCGAGCGGUCCCUUCGGGGGCAGCGGCGGACGGGUGAGUAACGCGUGGGAACGUGCCCUUUGGUACGGAACAACUGAGGGAAACUUCAGCUAAUACCGUAUGUGCCCUUCGGGGGAAAGAUUUAUCGCCAUUGGAGCGGCCCGCGUUGGAUUAGGUAGUUGGUGAGGUAAAGGCUCACCAAGCCUACGAUCCAUAGCUGGUCUGAGAGGAUGAUCAGCCACACUGGGACUGAGACACGGCCCAGACUCCUACGGGAGGCAGCAGUAGGGAAUCUUGCGCAAUGGGCGAAAGCCUGACGCAGCCAUGCCGCGUGAAUGAUGAAGGUCUUAGGAUUGUAAAAUUCUUUCACCGGGGACGAUAAUGACGGUACCCGGAGAAGAAGCCCGGCUAACUUCGUGCCAGCAGCCGCGGUAAGCUAGCUACG
This 458-nucleotide ribosomal RNA is filed under the name uncultured bacterium. Its description in RNAcentral is "bacterial SSU rRNA". It matches the Rfam family "Bacterial small subunit ribosomal RNA", at positions 29 to 532 of the family's 1533-position model. The record is from RNAcentral.